CCAAACCGGAUUACGGGUGCGACGGGAGGCCGAUUGCAAGUGUCGACAAGCAAUCGGAAAGCGUUUUGAGGUGGGUCGUGCUCACUGAAGCGAUUAGGUCGCUUUCCAUGCUAAAGUAUAGUAUGUUUACUAUUGAUGCAUGAUAAAGUAUGCUAUUUAAGAAUGCAUGAUAAAGAUUAAAGUAUGCUAUUUAAGAAUGCAUGAUAAAGAUUAAAGUAUGCUAUUUAAGAAUGCAUGAUAAAGAUAGAUGUCAAAUGAAUGCAUGAGUUGAUGUUAAUUUACAUGAGCAUAUUAUAGAAAUGUUAAACAGAUGUCAAAUGAAAGUAUGAGAUUUAUUCUAACCGAGAAUGCAUGUGGUAAAUGUUAACGAAUGCAUAAAAUGCUAAGUAAUGACUACCAAUGGAUGACAAAAUAUAUGCAUGUUGAACAUAGAUCGAGUGGCAUUUGGAAAUGGUAAAGUGGACACUAGAGUUAGUGUGGGACAUCAAAGAAUAAAUGUGAUGUAAAGAAUAAUGAUAAUGGCUAAAGAUAAUGUAAAACAAUGUGAUGAUAAUAAUGUAAUGUUGCAUGAUGUGAGUACACGUGCUUAUUAGAAUGAUUAAGAAUCUAAAUAAUCUAUGUGUAUGCAUGAGAUGUAAUGUGAGAACCUAAUGAUAAUGGUUUGAGACAAGGCAAAGCAAUGUGAUGUAAAGAAUAAUGAUAAUGGCUAAAGGCGAUGUAAAGUAAUGUGGCAUAAAGAGCAAGCAAAGUGUAAAGAACAAUGAUAAUGGCUAGAGUUAGCAACCAAUGUGACAUAAAGAACACUAGAGUUAGUGUGUGGCAAUAAAAGAACAAGUGUGAUAUCAAGAAUGACAAUUACUAAAGUAAUUGAUAAUUGUGGUAUAAAGAAUAAUGAUUGCUAGAGUUAGCAACUAAUGUGAUGUAAAGAACACUAGAGUUAGUGUAAAACCAUGAUCCAACUACAUAUCCUUAGAGUUAAGGAUUGAUCAUACUUGCUAUGAGUUCCGUGCUCGAGGGCGGUCGCUCCCCCUCGAGCGAUGCGCUCCGGAGUUUGGCAUCCGGGUUGGAGUAGACCCGUAAGGACGGUCCUAGCUGGUGAGUUCCUGCGAUGAUGGACUUAAUGUGAAGCAAGUUAAUGUGGCGAAACCCCCGGGUUAGCCGUGAGAUUAAAGAACAAAGAACAAAAAGGAAUCAUGAAUUGGAAAGUGGAUCUUGUAUUCAUUAUGAAUUGACUCAAGACGGAGUCGAGUGGCAUAGUUGGCUAAAGUAAAGGUGACAAUUGAGAAAGAAUGACAAUUGAGAAACGUUUGUUAAUGUUAUAAAGAAUGGCAAAAGUGUAUAAUGCGCCUAAGGUGCGAGUGCCCUUAAUAAAGAAUAAAGAAUAAAGAAUAAAGAAUAAAGAAUAAAGAAUAAAGAGUAAAGAAUGGCUAAUGAUAAAGAAUAGCAAAUUCUAAAGAAAGUCUAAUGGUAAAGAAUAACUAAGAGUUGCAUAAUUUGCAUAUUUGUGAGGCAUGAACAUGUAUUGCAUGAUGUUAUAUGUAUAUAUAUCUGUUGGACUAACAUGUUGCAGUGCCUCCUUUGGACCUGGUGGGUUGAGCUUUUCACUUGGGUGGCUGUACCCACUGACGACUAUGGACAAUAGUCUCACCCCCGUGUUGUUGUUUUUGGGGGUACAGGUUCACACGCGAGCGGCGCGGCGGCGCGAGGAAAGGGCGUAGCUCCGUAGUUAGCGCCCUACCACAGAGACCAGAUAGCAGCACCCUGAGUCGGCUUCUUAGGGGUAUAAGAAAAGAAAAGAAAAGAAUUGAUGUUGUAAUAUUAUGUUUAGAAAUCGAUUGUAUAUUUGGAAGUUGAGAAUCAAUGUAAUGAAAAAUGCGAUGUAAAAUGAUGAGAUGAAUGAUUGUAAUAACAUAGGAUGUGUUAUGUUGUUUGAUACCUUCCUUAUGCAAUCGUUGUUGAAAAAUUGUUCCUGUUUGGAACCUCUUGUACUUGGAUUGAUUGCGACGCCUUGAACGUACAGGGGAGACUCUGUCCGCGUGUAGGGAAAACCCUGUCCGUUCGGCGGUCUGUUGGCGUGCCCGAAUCCGACCAAAGAGGCGGGCUCGGGGCGUGACAGAUAAGAUGGUAUCAGAGCAUAAAGUAGAGAAUGGGAAAGUGGUUUAGAUGAACCUAGGAGACCCUAGGAUAGUAAACCAUAGGAGAUUAAGGCUCGUGAGAGACGAGGACUUGUGGCUUUGGCGAAAGGUUAAGGGAUUGGGUUGUGUUGUAAACCUCUAAAAAGGAGAUUAGAGGUGGAUUCAAGGUGUGGUCUACUCUCAACCGAGGGUGUUCAUGUUGGACGCGUACAACAUGAAACCGAGUGAUGAGAAUAGAUGACCUUGUAUGACUUUCGCCUGAUUUGAGUUGAUGUCAGUUGUCUCGUACUCGACCUAGAAGGUUGAGAGUUAGUUGAGUUGUUAUGUUCUAGGUAACGAUGGCACUGCGUAGGCGAUCUUCGUUUAGAUCGACGCGGGGUGGGACAAGUGAUGUCCCAGAGCAAUCCAAGGCGAGCGGAGAUUUGGAACUUCGCGAACAGUUGGCCACACUUGUGGGUGUGGUGAGGCAACGAGCAGAUGUGGUGCAGCGGCAGCAGGAGGCUGUUAUGCACCAGGAGGAGCGAAUUAAGAGACUCCUGAAAAGUUGUAGGUGUAAUAUACCGAAACUUCGGUAAGCGAACAUCGAACCUUGGUCAAAUUAACCAAAGAGCGAGGUUGGUACACUUCGGAAAGGCCGAAGGCAUCAAAUAAUGCAAAAGUGCGUUACUGGGGAUCUUCGAGAGCUUUGGGAAUCAAAAUCUGCAAAUUGCAGGUUUUCUGCUCUCGGGGACCGGUCUCUGGUGGGAGAGACCGGUCCCCGCACGCGCAGACAGCGAAAGGGAGGAAAAAAAAAAAAAGGCUAAGUCCCCGGUGGACAGCUCUCGGGAACCGGUCCCUGCAGGGAGAGACCGGUCCCGAAGAGACCGGUCCCAUCGGGGGAGACCGGAUGCAUCGUGCGUGAGCCCUGCUGACCGCGGGGAGAGCUCUCGGAGACCGGUCCCUCGUCGGGGAGACCGGUCCCCGAACCUGAGAGUGGCCCAGUCAGGGCAGUGUAAAAGAGUAAAAGUUGAGAGGCUUGUUUGCACUUAUGCAACAUGUGGGGCUAUGUGAGGAGUAUGAGAGCUCUUUUCUCUCAUUUCUCAUCCACACACCCUCUCAUAUCUCUCUUUCUCUCUCUCUAGAAGACAAGAAGAGGAAGAAGAAAGGAAGGAAAAAGAAAGAGAAAGAGCGGGCUUUGGCAGCCCUCAUGACCUUCAUAAAGUUUGAUCCACCUACCUUCGAUGGAGAGAAUGUCGAUUCGUGGAUUGUGGAUACGUGGAUUGACUCCGUGGAAACGCUCUUCGAGGAGCUGUCUACCUUGGAGCGGGACAAGGUACCCCUAGCCGUGUAUUGUUUGAAACAGUCGGCUAAGGCGUGGUGGAAAGGCAUUCGACGGAACCGAUCGCCUAGUAUUCCUCCAUGGCAUGGGAUGAGUUUUGGGGAUUGGUAUCUUCUACUUACUUCCCCCGACAGUGAAAAGAGAAAGCUUCAGGACAAGUUCAGGAAGCUGCGGCAAGGAGACCGCUCAGUUAGAGAAUACGAACGGGAAUUCUCCCUAUCAUGAACUGUAUCCGAGAUAUGGAGCCUGCUGCUGACGACGUCAUGGCGGGUAUGAGCUGUUAAUGCAGUUAUGUGUUUCUGCAUAAUGUAGAGUUGGUGCAUUGCAUGCAUUGAGCAUGUAAUUAAUUACUACUAUUUAUGUAGUAGCAUAGUAGGGUCCAAGUGAGCGGGUAAAUGUAAACACCCGGGCACGCUUAUGUGGUGAAAGCGUUGCACCUGCCGGUGCAGGUAGAGAACUGGAUGGUACUAGCGAGUUGCUAGUGGUGGUCUAAUGAUGAGACUUGUAGUAGAGGUGGAAAUGACGAACCAACUCGCAGAGCAAUCUAUGUAAUUGAUUGCGAGAGUUGUGUCAUGACACUUGUGGACACUCGAAUGGUUUGAGUGUUCUAGAUGUUGCUCCGGUAGAGCGAUUGGCUGCCAAAUACGGGCGCGUUGGCCUAGUAGUACCUCGAAUUGAGGUGGGUGAGUCGUGCUCGUGUGGCCGGUGUGCAUAGGCAAGAGUUGCCUAAUGCUGGACAUAGUGUGGAGCGCUUUAGAGGCGUGCGAUACACGAGUAUAGUUACUCGUGGAGUGCGGAUUUAGUUCAGCCGGAUGAGUGUGUUGGCAGUAGCACCUGAGCAUUGCUAGGUGUGAAGCGUGCCACGGAUCACUCGUGGGGCUGGUGGCUCGCACUAGGUGCAUAGGAGCCGAUAGUGGUACGUAUUGUGCUAUAGAGCGUGUAGUGCGAUUGAUAGUAUACUGAGAGUGCGAGUGUGACCCAACCCGGGAAUCUGUAACGGUUUGGGAUCUUAGUUGCUCCUGGUUGGAGUGUGUGCGAAUUCCCAAGUGAGAAUUUCGCCCCAAUGAUGAUUGGGUCUGCAUUGCGAGCGAGAGACGCUGCGUAUUGAGAAAGGUUUAGGUGGUAGGCCUACAUAGUAUUGGUGGCCUUUGGACCACCAGUGGAAACCGAGGAAAGCGAUUUGGCGGAUAGACUUAUCGAGAGGUUUGACUCGAAUUCACGAACAAAGUGUUCUUGUGAGCUCUUUGCAGAAAUGGUUUGACGUUGACCAUGGCAUAUGGUAUUGAAAAAUGAAGUGCUCUUGGAGAGACCUUGAGCUUAUGGCAAGCCACGUGGAAUUUGAGAACUGGAAGUGGGGAUGUGCCGAAGUGGGCCAUCUCACUUAGAGCAAAAAGUCGGGGCGGAAUUAGAGCACUCGCGGUGAAGCGAUGCACUAGUGAUGUUGCUUUUAAGCAAUGUUGGAGAUAGAAUCGGAGUGUAUUCCCUGAGGGGAAAGUAAAUGCGAAGAAGAGUUCUUGUAUGCCAAAUGACAAGUGGUAUUGGACCGCGUGAAGUCGUUGAGUUUCGACUUGCGCCGCCACCAAGAGUGAUGGAUACCCUAAUGCACUUUGUGAGAUGCGCCUUGCAAAUUUGGAUGCAUUUAGUAUCAUGAACUCCGUGGUAGUCCUCUUGGAUAGUUCCAAGGAGUGUGAAGCCAUUCCGAAGUGGAAAGCGUAUUGGUGCUCUCAAUUACUCGAGGAGCUGAAUCGAGUUGUGGUUUGAAUUUCGCGGACGAAAUUCUUUUAAGGGGUGGAGAAUGUAAUAUACCGAACUUCUAAAUUCACGAAGUUACGAUGUAAGUUAGCUUAGAAAGCCAUUGGAAUCGUCCCGGCGAAGUUCGGGAGCAUUCGGGUGCUUCGGUGCGCAUAGGGCGCGAAAACGGAGCCGAAAGGCUAUGUUGGACCGUGAGUUAAAUCCGGCAUUAGCGUGGAUGAAAAGAUGAUGAAAACAUGUUCGAAAACAUAUUUGGAGAGUCUCGGUUCGAUUUGAAAUGAAUCAGAGGUCAAACGAGCGAAAACGAGCGAAAACGGAGCUAAAAUGGUGAAAAAGCUGAAAAUUUGGCUAAGUCCUUGAAGGCUGAUUUCUGGACCUUCGGGGACCGGUCUCUCAGUCAAGGACCGGUCUCUCAGGGACCGGUCUCUCAUCGCAAGGACCGGUCCCCGAAGCCCGAAAAUGCCCAGUUCGGGCUGUUGUGAGAAAUGCAUUGUUGAGGGUGUUUUCAGCAAUUUUGCACUAAUAGAGGCUAUUAGAUGGUGGAAUGAGAUCUUUCUCUCAUUUCUCUCACUCUCCCACACCAAAACCUCUCCCUCUCUCUCUCUAGAAAGAAAAGAAGGAGAAGAAGAGGGGAAAGAAAGGGAAGAAGAAGAUGAAGGAGAAGAGGCCAAGAAGAUAGAGUUUCAUCUUCAUCUCCUUCCUUGAGCCAUAGGAGCAAGCUUAGAGAGGUAAGCCUUAUGCUCUCUAAUGGUAGACUUCUAGAACUUGGUUUAUAUGUUCUAGAAUUGGAUUUUAUGUACUCCUAGCAUGUCAAAUAGAUGAUAAAUGCUUGGAUCAUGAGAUGAAAUGGUAGAUUUUGCAAUAGUUGCAUAUUAGGGCUCCAAAAAGGGGGUUUUUGUAGAUAGUUGAGUUUGAUCUCAAUUGACCCUCUAUAAACCUAAUUGGGGGUAUAACGAACGCGUUGGUGCGCUCGGUUCGACAAUCCGACGAGUGUACGCAAAGUUAUUGACGAAACAAUCUGUUUUGGUACAGAUAACUGCAGCACGCGGGAUAAGCCUCCAAAAAUCAUGAGAAUGGAUCGGGAGCAUCGUGGUGUCGGGGAAUAAACUCCCGAACAGACGGAUCGCGAAUUGGUGGCCGUUCGGGUGGUCGCACAAGAGUUCGGGCCAGACCGGGUUACGGAUGCCGCGGGAGGCCGAUUGCAAGUGUCGACAAGCAAUCGGAAAGCGUUUUGAGGUGGGUUGUGCUCACCGAAGCGAUUAGGUCGCUUUCCAUGCCAAAGUGUAGUAUGUUUACUAUUGAUGCAUGAUAAAGUAUGCUAUUUGAGAAUGCAUGAUAAAGUAUGCUAUUUAAGAAUGCAUGAUAAAGAUAGAUGCCAAAUGAAUGCAUGAGUUGAUGUUAAUUUACAUGUGCAUAUUAUAGAAAUGCUAAAUAGAUGUCAAAUGAAAGUAUGAGAUUUAUACUAACCGAGAAUGCAUGUAGUAAAUGUUAACGAAUGCAUAAAAUGCUAAGUAAUGACUACCAAUGGAUGACAAAAUAUAUGCAUGUUGAACAUAGAUCGAGUGGCAUUUGGAAAUGGUAAAGUGGACACUAGAGUUAGUGUGGGACAUCAAAGAAUAAAUGUGAUGUAAAGAAUAAUGAUAAUGGCUAAAGAUAAUGUAAAACAAUGUGAUGAUAAUAAUGUAAUGUUGCAUGAUGUGAGUACACGUGCUUAUUAGAAUGACUAAGAAUCUAAAUAAUCUAUAUGUAUGCAUGAGAUGUAAUGUGAGAACCUAAUGAUAAUGGCUUGAGACAAGGCAAAGCAAUGUGAUGUAAAGAAUAAUGAUAAUGGCUAGAGGCGAUGUAAAGUAAUGUGGCAUAAAGAACAAGCAAAGUGUAAAGAACAAUGAUAAUGGCUAGAGUUAGCAACCAAUGUGACAUAAAGAACACUAGAGUUAGUGUGUGGCAAUAAAAGAACAAGUGUGAUAUCAAGAAUGACAAUUACUAAAGUAAUUGAUAAUUGUGGUAUAAAGAAUAAUGAUUGCUAGAGUUAGCAACUAAUGUGAUGUAAAGAACACUAGAGUUAGUGUAAAACCAUGAUCCAACUACAUAUCCUUAGAGUUAAGGAUUGAUCAUACUUGCUAUGAGUUCCGUGCUCGAGGGCGGUCGCUCCCCCUCGGGCGAUGCGCUCCGGAGUUUGGCAUCCGGGUUGGAGUAGACCCGUAAGGACGGUCCUAGCUGGUGAGUUCCUGUGAUGAUGGACUUAAUGUGAAGCAAGUUAAUGUGGCGAAACCCCCGGGUUAGCCGUGAGAUUAAAGAACAAAGAACAAAAA
RNAcentral lists this long non-coding RNA (7517 nucleotides) under Ananas comosus (pineapple). Its description in RNAcentral is "long non-coding RNA (ACOM_LNC009016)". Lineage: Eukaryota; Viridiplantae; Streptophyta; Magnoliopsida; Poales; Bromeliaceae. The record is from RNAcentral.